Molecule: ribosomal RNA, 1161 nt
Filed under: Salmonella enterica
Lineage: Bacteria; Pseudomonadati; Pseudomonadota; Gammaproteobacteria; Enterobacterales; Enterobacteriaceae
Also listed under: 1 other name
Description: partial 23S ribosomal RNA
Rfam family: Bacterial large subunit ribosomal RNA
Source: RNAcentral
AGACCCGAAACCCGGUGAUCUAGCCAUGGGCAGGUUGAAGGUUGGGUAACACUAACUGGAGGACCGAACCGACUAAUGUUGAAAAAUUAGCGGAUGACCUGUGGCUGGGGGUGAAAGGCCAAUCAAACCGGGAGAUAGCUGGUUCUCCCCGAAAGCUAUUUAGGUAGCGCCUCGUGAAUUCAUCUCCGGGGGUAGAGCACUGUUUCGGCUAGGGGGCCAUCCCGGCUUACCAACCCGAUGCAAACUGCGAAUACCGGAGAAUGUUAUCACGGGAGACACACGGCGGGUGCUAACGUCCGUCGUGAAGAGGGAAACAACCCAGACCGCCAGCUAAGGUCCCAAAGUCAUGGUUAAGUGGGAAACGAUGUGGGAAGGCCCAGACAGCCAGGAUGUUGGCUUAGAAGCAGCCAUCAUUUAAAGAAAGCGUAAUAGCUCACUGGUCGAGUCGGCCUGCGCGGAAGAUGUAACGGGGCUAAACCAUGCACCGAAGCUGCGGCAGCGAACGUAUCACCCAAGACAACUUUACGGAGUUGACGAUUGACGGAGCGAAGCGACGUCAAAGCGUUCAUUAAAGUCGAGUUGGCUUAGGGAUACGUUCGUUGGGUAGGGGAGCGUUCUGUAAGCCUGUGAAGGUGUGUCGUGAGGCAUGCUGGAGGUAUCAGAAGUGCGAAUGCUGACAUAAGUAACGAUAAAGCGGGUGAAAAGCCCGCUCGCCGGAAGACCAAGGGUUCCUGUCCAACGUUAAUCGGGGCAGGGUGAGUCGACCCCUAAGGCGAGGCCGAAAGGCGUAGUCGAUGGGAAACGGGUUAAUAUUCCCGUACUUGGUGUUACUGCGAAGGGGGGACGGAGAAGGCUAUGUUGGCCGGGCGACGGUUGUCCCGGUUUAAGCGUGUAGGUGUGUGUUCCAGGUAAAUCCGGUUCACUUUAACACUGAGGCGUGACGACGAGGCACUACGGUGCUGAAGCAACAAAUGCCCUGCUUCCAGGAAAAGCCUCUAAGCAUCAGGUAACACGAAAUCGUACCCCAAACCGACACAGGUGGUCAGGUAGAGAAUACCAAGGCGCUUGAGAGAACUCGGGUGAAGGAACUAGGCAAAAUGGUGCCGUAACUUCGGGAGAAGGCACGCUGACACGUAGGUGAAGUGAUUUACUCAUGGAGCU